This 497-nucleotide ribosomal RNA is filed under the name uncultured bacterium. RNAcentral's name for it is "partial 16S ribosomal RNA". It matches the Rfam family "Bacterial small subunit ribosomal RNA", at positions 28 to 507 of the family's 1533-position model. The record is from RNAcentral.
GAUGAACGCUGGCGGCGUGCCUAAUACAUGCAAGUCGAGCGAACAGACGAGGAGCUUGCUCCUCUGACGUUAGCGGCGGACGGGUGAGUAACACGUGGAUAACCUACCUAUAAGACUGGGAUAACUUCGGGAAACCGGAGCUAAUACCGGAUAAUAUAUUGAACCGCAUGGUUCAAUAGUGAAAGACGGUUUUGCUGUCACUUAUAGAUGGAUCCGCGCCGCAUUAGCUAGUUGGUAAGGCAACGGCUUACCAAGGCAACGAUGCGUAGCCGACCUGAGAGGGUGAUCGGCCACACUGGAACUGAGACACGGUCCAGACUCCUACGGGAGGCAGCAGUAGGGAAUCUUCCGCAAAGGGCGAAAGCCUGACGGAGCAACGCCGCGUGAGUGAUGAAGGUCUUCGGAUCGUAAAACUCUGUUAUUAGGGAAGAACAAAUGUGUAAGUAACUAUGCACGUCUUGACGGUACCUAAUCAGAAAGCCACGGCUAACUACGUG